This is a non-coding RNA of Pelobates cultripes (western spadefoot toad), 658 nucleotides long. The record is from the annotation of a GenBank genome assembly. Lineage: Eukaryota; Metazoa; Chordata; Amphibia; Anura; Pelobatidae.
CUGACAUGUAAGGCGGUAGUUACAAUCUAAUUUGAGUAUUAUCCGAGUUAGUCCGAGCUCAGCAAAAUGUAUCGGAAGUUAUCGGAAUUACCGGGGGGGCCCUGGGGAGACUCGCUUGUUUGACCUGAGUUGUUAGCGGGGUGGGAUGAGGCGACCCUCCGUCCCUAAUCAGCUGGGGACCCCUAAACUGGAACAUGGGUACUGGUCUGGUGGGGGGGCUUAGGUACCUGCAAAUAAGUUCUCUGGGAAAGUUUGGGUACUGUGUGUUGAAUAAUCACCUUGAGCCCGCCAGAAGAGAUGGCCUUCCCACCUCCCCUCAUCCCACUACCUGCAGGAGUGUGCUGCGCUCCAGCUGAGCCAUAGUUUUGCGUGUUUGUCCUCACUGGAUUGCAACCGGAAUGCUAGCCGUUCGUGGUCGUAAGUCGAGUGAACUCUAUUUUUCACCUCCUGAAUACUAAGGGGUUCUGGACUUUUCCAUCUGCUUGCUAUGCUAGUCUUGGCAGCUAACAAUAUGUGAUAGAUAACCAACUUGUGUGGGGAGGCCAAUGUUCCGGCGUGGAUAUGUAGGAGAUAACAUUCUGGGUGUAGUGGGAUGGUAAGCUCUGUGACCUCUUUUAUCAGAAUUCUGACCUGUUGCCAAAAUUGUGUCAGUUUUGUG